Molecule: ribosomal RNA, 1481 nt
Filed under: uncultured bacterium
Lineage: Bacteria
Description: bacterial SSU rRNA
Rfam family: Bacterial small subunit ribosomal RNA
Source: RNAcentral
AGAGUUUGAUCCUGGCUCAGGACGAACGCUGGCGGCGUGCCUAACACAUGCAAGUCGAGCGGAGAAUGCGGAUAUGUUUACAUAGAAGUAUUCUUAGCGGCGGACGGGUGAGUAACACGUGGGUAACCUGCCUCAAAGUGGGGGAUAGCCUUCCGAAAGGAAGAUUAAUACCGCAUAAGCCUACAGUAUCGCAUGGUACAGCAGGAAAAGGAGCAAUCCGCUUUGAGAUGGACCCGCGGCGCAUUAGCUAGUUGGUGAGGUAACGGCUCACCAAGGCGACGAUGCGUAGCCGACCUGAGAGGGUGAUCGGCCACAUUGGAACUGAGACACGGUCCAGACUCCUACGGGAGGCAGCAGUGGGGAAUAUUGCACAAUGGGCGAAAGCCUGAUGCAGCAACGCCGCGUGAGCGAUGAAGGCCUUCGGGUCGUAGAGCUCUGUCCUCAAGGAAGAUAAUGACGGUACUUGAGGAGGAAGCCCCGGCUAACUACGUGCCAGCAGCCGCGGUAAUACGUAGGGGGCUAGCGUUAUCCGGAUUUACUGGGCGUAAAGGGUGCGUAGGUGGUUUCUUAAGUCAGGAGUGAAAGGCUACGGCUCAACCGUAGUAAGCUCUUGAAACUGGGAAACUUGAGUGCAGGAGAGGAAAGUGGAAUUCCUAGUGUAGCGGUGAAAUGCGUAGAUAUUAGGAGGAACACCAGUAGCGAAGGCGGCUUUCUGGACUGUAACUGACACUGAGGCACGAAAGCGUGGGGAGCAAACAGGAUUAGAUACCCUGGUAGUCCACGCCGUAAACGAUGAGUACUAGGUGUCGGGGGUUACCCCCCUCGGUGCCGCAGCUAACGCAUUAAGUACUCCGCCUGGGGAGUACGCUCGCAAGAGUGAAGCUCAAAGGAAUUGACGGGGACCCGCACAAGUAGCGGAGCGUGUGGUUUAAUUCGAAGCAACGCGAAGAACCUUACCUAAGCUUGACACUCUUUUGACCGAUGCCUAAUCGCAUCUUUCCCUUCGGGGACAGAAGUGACAGGUGGUGCAUGGUUGUCGUCAGCUCGUGUCGUGAGAUGUUGGGUUAAGUCCCGCAACGAGCGCAACCCUUGCCUUUAGUUGCCAGCAUUAAGUUGGGCACUCUAGAGGGACUGCCAGGGAUAACCUGGAGGAAGGUGGGGAUGACGUCAAAUCAUCAUGCCCCUUAUGCUUAGGGCUACACACGUGCUACAAUGGGUGGUACAGAGGGCAGCCAAGUCGUGAGGCCGAGCUAAUCCCUUAAAGCCAUUCUCAGUUCGGAUUGUAGGCUGAAACUCGCCUACAUGAAGCUGGAGUUACUAGUAAUCGCAGAUCAGAAUGCUGCGGUGAAUGCGUUCCCGGGUCUUGUACACACCGCCCGUCACACCAUGGGAGUUGGGGGCGCCCGAAGCCGGUUAGCUAACCUUUUGGAAGCGGCCGUCGAAGGUGAAACCAAUAACUGGGGUGAAGUCGUAACAAGGUA